UGGGGAAUUUUGGACAAUGGGGGAAACCCUGAUCCAGCCAUCCCGCGUGUGCGCUGAAGGCCUUCGGGUUGUAAAGCACUUUUGGCAGGAAAGAAACGUCAUGGGUUAAUACCCCGUGAAACUGACGGUACCUGCAGAAUAAGCACCGGCUAACUACGUGCCAGCAGCCGCGGUAAUACGUAGGGUGCAAGCGUUAAUCGGAAUUACUGGGCGUAAAGCGUGCGCAGGCGGUUCGGAAAGAAAGAUGUGAAAUCCCAGAGCUCAACUUUGGAACUGCAUUUUUAACUACCGGGCUAGAGUGUGUCAGAGGGAGGUGGAAUUCCGCGUGUAGCAGUGAAAUGCGUAGAUAUGCGGAGGAACACCGAUGGCGAAGGCAGCCUCCUGGGAUAACACUGACGCUCAUGCACGAAAGCGUGGGGAGCAAACAGG
RNAcentral lists this ribosomal RNA (429 nucleotides) under Acidobacteriota bacterium. Its description in RNAcentral is "Acidobacteria bacterium partial 16S ribosomal RNA". It matches the Rfam family "Bacterial small subunit ribosomal RNA", at positions 355 to 776 of the family's 1533-position model. The record is from RNAcentral. Lineage: Bacteria; Pseudomonadati; Acidobacteriota.